RNAcentral lists this ribosomal RNA (250 nucleotides) under uncultured bacterium. RNAcentral's name for it is "partial 16S ribosomal RNA". It matches the Rfam family "Bacterial small subunit ribosomal RNA", at positions 524 to 773 of the family's 1533-position model. The record is from RNAcentral.
GACAGAGGGACCUAGCGUUGUUCGGAUUUACUGGGCGUAAAGGGUGCGUAGGUGGUUGUUUAAGUAGAGUGUUAAAUCCCCAGGCUUAACCUGGGAGUCGCAUUCUAUACUGGACGACUAGAGUAUGGGAGAGGAAAGUGGAAUUCCUAGUGUAGAGGUGGAAUUCGUAGAUAUUAGGAGGAACACCAGAGGCGAAGGCGGCUUUCUGGCCCAUAACUGACACUGAGGCACGAAAGCGUGGGGAGCAAAC